This 484-nucleotide ribosomal RNA is filed under the name uncultured bacterium. RNAcentral describes it as "partial 16S ribosomal RNA". It matches the Rfam family "Bacterial small subunit ribosomal RNA", at positions 28 to 523 of the family's 1533-position model. The record is from RNAcentral.
GACGAACGCUGGCGGCGUGCUUAACACAUGCAAGUCGAGCGAUGAUGCUGGAGCUUGCUCCAGUUGAUUAGUGGCGAACGGGUGAGUAACACGUGAGCAAUCUGCCCUUGACUCUGGGAUAACUGCGGGAAACUGUAGCUAAUACCGGAUACUUUCACCGGAAGGCAUCUUCUGGUGAUGAAAGAAUUUCGGUCAGGGAUGAGCUCGCGGCCUAUCAGCUUGUUGGUGAGGUAACGGCUCACCAAGGCGACGACGGGUAACCGGCCUGAGAGGGUGACCGGUCACACUGGGACUGAGACACGGCCCAGACUCCUACGGGAGGCAGCAGUGGGGAAUAUUGCACAAUGGGCGCAAGCCUGAUGCAGCAACGCUGCGUGAGGGAUGAAGGCCUUCGGAUUGUAAACCUCUUUCAGCAGGGACGAAGCGAAAGUGACGGUACCUGCAGAAGAAGCACCGGCUAACUAUGUGCCAGCCGCCGCCGUAA